Molecule: ribosomal RNA, 427 nt
Filed under: uncultured bacterium
Lineage: Bacteria
Also listed under: 1 other name
Description: bacterial SSU rRNA
Rfam family: Bacterial small subunit ribosomal RNA
Source: RNAcentral
UGGGGAAUUUUGGACAAUGGGCGAAAGCCUGAUCCAGCCAUGCCGCGUGUCUGAAGAAGGCCUUCGGGUUGUAAAGGACUUUUGUCAGGGAGGAAAUCCCUAGUGCUAAUAACACUGGGGGAUGACAGUACCUGAAGAAUAAGCACCGGCUAACUACGUGCCAGCAGCCGCGGUAAUACGUAGGGUGCGAGCGUUAAUCGGAAUUACUGGGCGUAAAGCGUGCGCAGGCGGUUUGAUAAGCCAGAUGUGAAAUCCCCGAGCUCAACUUGGGAACUGCGUUUGGAACUGUCAGACUAGAGUGCGUCAGAGGGGGGUGGAAUUCCGCGUGUAGCAGUGAAAUGCGUAGAGAUGCGGAGGAACACCGAUGGCGAAGGCAGCCCCCUGGGAUGACACUGACGCUCAUGCACGAAAGCGUGGGGAGCAAACA